RNAcentral lists this ribosomal RNA (253 nucleotides) under uncultured bacterium. RNAcentral's name for it is "partial 16S ribosomal RNA". It matches the Rfam family "Bacterial small subunit ribosomal RNA", at positions 524 to 776 of the family's 1533-position model. The record is from RNAcentral.
UACGUAGGGUGCGAGCGUUAAUCGGAAUUACUGGGCGUAAAGUGUGCGCAGGCGGCAGAGCAAGUCGAGUGUGAAAGCCCCGGGCUUAACUUGGGAAUUGCGCUCGAAACUACUUUGCUGGAGUGUGGCAGAGGAAGGUGGAAUUCCACGUGUAGCGGUGAAAUGCGCAGAUAUCAGGAGGAACACCGAUGGCGAAGGCAGGUCUCUGGGCCACUACUGACGCUGAGAAGCGAAAGCAUGGGGAGCGAACAGG